GGAACUCCCCAGCCUGGUUGGCUGCUCCUCGAGAGCUGACCCCCACGAGGGACGUGGGCAGAAGGCUGGGGUGAGCGUGGCCGGGGCGCAGCCUCUGCCGGGGCUCGCUCCCACGGACCAGCGCGAGUGUGUGGGGGAGGAGGAGCCGCUGACCCAGGCCUCUGGGUGUGACUUGGGAGGACAGCCCAGGGGAAGGGGAACUGCCUCGGUCCCAGGGUGGGGCUAGGGCCCUAGCAGAGCCGGGCAACGUGGGGACAAAGAGCUGAGAAGGAUGUUGGCACUGCGGGGGCAUCACUUGGCAGCGGUGCCGGGAAUGAAUCCGAUAAUCCUACAAGUGGCUUUUUAGGCUUGAAACAUUUCCUGCAGUGUUGGAGAGCCGGGUUUGGCUAUACUCCCCUGGUGGCCUUUGGUAGGAAGUCACCACAUACUGGCCGAGAGGGAUGGAGACACCCUCAGGAAACCGGUCAGCUUUUUUCUUUCUUGGGCAUUUUUCCAAAAUACUUUUACCUUCCUCUUCCCCCGCGGAGGAUGAAGGUGGUGAGCUAAGUGCCUUGGUUAUAGAAGAAAAGCUUCUGUGACCAGCCCUGAGUAAGCUGAUGCCCGGCUGACUGUGUCGAAGAGAUCUUAGCGUCCAGAGACUGUUCUCCACAAUGAGGGGGUUAUAGUUUUCAAAGCAAUCAGUGGAGGAAAGAUUUUUUUUUUUUUAUUUCAGGAAGUAAUUCAGAAAUAAGCCAGUGGAAACAGUCCCUUCCCUGAAAGUGAAUGGAACUUCAUUUUUCCCUGGACUCGAACAUUAUCAGUCUUGUCCUCCAGGGCCUCUCCUUGUUCAGUAAGUUGAGGGCUGUGGCCUGAGUCUUCCUAGAUGUUGGAAACAGAUCCCACUGAAGUGAUUCUCUUGAGACUUUAAAUGAUCUACAUUGGAUCUUCCUUGCUAAAAGUUGAGACUUGACAUUCACCCAGGCCACUGGAGUUGUUAAGGGGAUUUGUGCACUUGAUACUUGAGAUUUGUGGUAUACAGAGUAAUUCUGAGGUUACUGUUCUCUGUGUAACAAUACGGAGAGUCUUAGUGCUGCCUCGCUGUUCCAGGUGGAAGCAGUUUCAUCCUGAUCACGUGAGACUAGAUUCAGGCCAUUCUCACCUGAAUUAGGAGACUCCUGAACCAGCUUUUGCAGACUUGCUCUUUUUUUUUUUUUCCCAUUUAUUUUUAUUAGUUGGAGGCUAAUUACUUUACAAUAUUGUAGCAGACUUGAUCUUUUAGGAGAGUCCUAAUUUAGGUUUAUUCUCUCUGACCAGAAAUGAAUUGGGAUAGUCUCUUGUUAACACAUACCAAUUAAAAAGAAAAGCGUAGGGAUCAUAAAGCUUACAAAUUAUUCUAGGUCUUUCUCAGUCUGCUUGGUUUAAUAGCAUUAUAACAUGAGGUGGGAAUAUUUCUGUGUUUACUGUAAACCAAAUAUGUUCUACUUUUUACCACCUUCAUGAUGUCUGGGGUUUUGCAUUACUGUGCAGUGACAUGAUGGCAAACAGUCACUGAAACUCAAGUUCUCAACCUUUUGUGUGUUUUGUUGGUUGCAGAAUUUGGAAAUAGCAGCAGGGGCUUCGCUGGUGGCUCAGAUGAUGUGGUGGAGAGGGAAAAAUUGAAGCAAGAUGGAAAACAAUUCUCAGCUUUGAGAGGCUCACAGCAUGUCUGAAGGACUGUUUGUGGUUGGAAAGAGAUGAACUAGGGAAAAGGAGCCGGAGCACAUAGCUGUGGUGAGGUUUGGGCUUAUCUGGAACUUAAGUAUGUAUGUUUUAUUCCCUCUCCUUUCCUGAAGCUUGAUUGCCCCAUAUAUAUAUAAAACAUGUAACUGCUGCAGCAGUACACAAAAACAGGUAUUCCUCUAUGGGAUAAUUAUAACGUCAUUAGAAUAGGAAAAGAGGGAGUUCUCUGGUGGUUCAGUGGUUAAGACUCCAGGCUUUCGCUGCUGGGAUCUUGGUUCACUUCCUCGUCAGAGAACUGAGAUCUUGCAAGCUUCCCAAUGUGGCAAAACGAAAGAAGGAAAGAAAGAGUCAUUCAGGAAUGGAAAGAGCUAUUCUUUUUUCGUAAUUUUGUUCUAUCUUAGAACCUAGUUUGUUGCCACUGAUUUUUGUAAGAGUACAUCCCCAAUUGGAAGUGAAUGCCAGGGGAGAAAAAGAAUGUCUUCCUGAAACAUGCUUCUUGCUCACCAGCCACACUGUGUUUGCCUUUGUAUGCCCACCUAUGCUGUGAGUUUCUCAAACCUGGAGACAGAUUUUCAUGUAACUUUUCCUCACUUGAGAGUUAUGUUCAUUAAGAAUAAUACCUAAAAAAAAAAAAAAAAAAAGAAUAAUACCUAACACUAAAGGGUGACUAGUGAAAGCCAUAUUGGCAGUUGUACCUUGGCGUAUCAUUGGGUAAAUUCUAGGAAAGGAACUUUUCUUCCCAGGUGUCACCAGGACCAUUUUCUAAGCCAGGUUCUCUGCAGGUGUGAAGGUUCUCCGUACCACUCUGCCUUUUAGGCUUUCUUGACCAGGCAGUACAAAGUAGGUCUUCUUGGAGCUCACACUGACUCUGUCUUUCACACAGUUCCACAGGCCUGAAGGAUCACUGUAGCCUAGAGGUGAUAGAUGAGGUAGCCAUGUGUCUUCCUUAUUUACCAGGCUGAAAUAGGAAUAACUACCCAUCAGCUUUAGAGAAGAGAAACUCCAGAAUAUAGCACCACUGUGCUCUGGUGUGGUCAUAACCAAAAUCAUCUCUCCAGUCACCAGUUCUGCACUUGGAACUAUUGGGGGUGCAUUCUGCUGGUGUCUGAGGAGUAUUUGCCUUAGAUGGACAAUCCUGGGUAUAAGCAUGUAUUUCAACAUCUUGAGUCAGAGAGACAGCCAACAUUACUGACUGUGGGCUAUUAACUUGUUUUAGUUUAUAGCCAUGAAUUCCACAGAUGGACUUUGCAAUGUAAGAAAUGUGCAUCUGUCCACUAAAUGUGUCUCGGCCUUUCUUUCAUCUGGGUGGAAAGAGAAGUCACUCAUCAAUAUACAUUCUGUAUUGGGGAUUUUUGGUUACCCUCCAAAGUUUAUCACUUCCCCUCUCCCCAGUAGAGAAUUUUAAAUGUAGUUUUUCUGGUCUGUCUGGACAGAGUGUUUUCUAACUUGGAACAAAAUAAUUUGGUCUCAUUUUUUUAGAGUGGCGAAGCAAUUUAGACAGCUGGGCUACCGCAGUGUUCCUGUUUCAUAGCAUUAACAGCAAAGGGUUUUUAGAUGGAUUGUCUAGGUUUUUGUUUUGAUUGACUGGUUUUAAUAGGAGUGGUGAGGGUAGUUCAGGCCCUCUCUUUAACAAAGAACUCGAAAAACUAAUUUUCACAAAAGAAGUACAAAUAUUCAAUAAACGUGAAAAACAUCAAUCAGUCAAAGAUGAUAUUUAAGAAGAGACAUCCUUGCUGUUUUGGCAAGGAUAUGGGGGAGAUGGAAACUCAUAAUCCACUGGUUCGAGUGUAAAAUCAUAAAACUUUUUGGAUGACAGGCAACAUAAACCUUAGUGUUCCAAACGUUUGACCCAGCAGUUGCAUUUUAAGGAGUUUAUCCUAAGGAGGUAAUAAAAAAGUGUUCAUUAAUAAAAGCACUCGUAAGAGCAUUGUUUGCAGUAGUGAAAAAUUGAGAAUAAAAUAUCCCACCUCUUGUUGGGAUAGCUGCUGGCACCAAUGAAAACGGAGAGCUUGCUGCAUUUCCUGAGGUUGAAAAGAAGAGGACUAACACAACCUUGAACCCUUGUACUCUGUAAAUGGAGUAGCCACAGAAUGUUUUGGGAGAAUGACCAAGAAGUCUCCAUGGUGCUCUGUCUUUGGUCCAAUAUGUGAGCUUGUCCUGACAGGCAUGGUUGCUCUAUCACAGCCUCUGUCUUCUCUGCUGCAGGUGGUGAUAGCUCACUUUCUUCCCAGGGAACAUUUGAGCUACAAACUAUGAUUUUAGUUUACUGUUAGGAGAAGGGGUUAUUUAGAUUAUUUUUUUUUCCCUUCUCUUUCUGGGUAAAUAUUGACUAAAUAUGUGCAGGGAGAUGCUUAAAAUCUGCAUUUCGUCUCCAGUAUAUCUUUCAAUAAUACCCUGCUCUGUU
Dama dama (fallow deer) is the source of this 4102-nucleotide long non-coding RNA. RefSeq lists it as uncharacterized. Lineage: Eukaryota; Metazoa; Chordata; Mammalia; Artiodactyla; Cervidae. The transcript has 3 exons. The record is from RefSeq and is a predicted model, not a curated record.